CUCUACAUGUCUCUGAUCCAUUUAGGUCUAUUCAGUACACUUCACACCGGGAGCUAGAAAGAUUUAUUUCUGAAAGUAUGCAUGGAAAUGGAUCAUCGAAUUCAAGAGUCUGUGAUGGAGUUUGCCAGAUUAAGUCAUCUCUUCUGGAGGGAAUUCUAGUGGUAAUUUGAGUCUAGCUUCUAUUGAGAACAUGGGGCCGAAGAUUCAUGAUAUGGAGCUAUCAUCUUAUUAUUCUUAUAUCUGUUUAUUAAUUGCUAUUAUUAUCAAUUGGC
RNAcentral lists this long non-coding RNA (272 nucleotides) under Olea europaea (common olive). Its description in RNAcentral is "long non-coding RNA (OEUR_LNC010322)". The record is from RNAcentral. Lineage: Eukaryota; Viridiplantae; Streptophyta; Magnoliopsida; Lamiales; Oleaceae.